Pelobates cultripes (western spadefoot toad) is the source of this 457-nucleotide non-coding RNA. The record is from the annotation of a GenBank genome assembly. NCBI's taxonomy places the organism in Eukaryota, Metazoa, Chordata, Amphibia, Anura, Pelobatidae.
CUGACUUCUACUGGAGGUGUCCGUAGGCAGCAAUGUAAAUACUGCCUUUUCUUUGAAAUGACUGUGUUUACAUUGAAAUGCCUGCAGGGACAUGUUAUGCACAACAAGCUGCAUUAAGCUGUAUUUGUUCUGGUGACUAGUGUCCCUUUAGCCAAAUAUUUUGGUCUUAGAGAAUUUCUAACAGUGUCUGGUAAAACCUUCCACCAUGUAGCUUUGGACAGCAGUGCCAUCUGAUGGAUCUGCAGAGCAUUAAAAGUAUUUGGAAUCUUAAUGGUGUAACGUAGGAAAUUGAAAUGGGCAGAAAUAUGACCAGUUAAAGGGGUGGAUGUUCAGGUAAUGCCAUAUAGUAAGCAGUAUGACACGUGUCAUAGCUGAUGUAACUGGUUAUACACUUUUUUUAAAGCUGGGCAUAAAUUAGCGACAAACUCAUUUAAGCAGGACCUUCUUAACACUUUGC